This 422-nucleotide ribosomal RNA is filed under the name Ebala sp. AD-2009. RNAcentral's name for it is "partial 16S ribosomal RNA". It matches the Rfam family "Archaeal large subunit ribosomal RNA", at positions 1901 to 2677 of the family's 2987-position model. The record is from RNAcentral. Lineage: Eukaryota; Metazoa; Mollusca; Gastropoda; Ebalidae.
AAAAACAUAGCUAAAAGAUAUUUAUUUUAGUUACACCUGCUCAAUGAAUUAUAUUUAAUAGCUGCAGUAUUUUAACUGUACUAAGGUAGCAUAAUCAUUUGUCUUUUAAUUAAAGUCUAGAAUGAAUGGUAAUUUGGGAAGAAGCUGUCUCAAAAAAAAACAUAAAAAUUACUAAAAAAGUGAAAAAGCUUUUUAUUCCUAAUGGGACGAGAAGACCCUAAAAACUUAAUAUUUUGUUGGGGAGACAAAGGUAUAAACGUCCUUUAUUAAUUUAUAAGUUUAUAAAAUAAAGAAUAAGUUACUUUAGGGAUAACAGCAUAAUUAAAAAUUUAGUUUGUGACCUCGAUGUUGGACUAGGAAUUUUUAUUAUUAGAAAUAAUAAAAAUAUGUUCUGUUCGAACAAUUUCUCCUACGUGAUCUGA